RNAcentral lists this long non-coding RNA (425 nucleotides) under Rattus norvegicus (Norway rat). RNAcentral's name for it is "long non-coding RNA NONRATT003021". Lineage: Eukaryota; Metazoa; Chordata; Mammalia; Rodentia; Muridae. The record is from RNAcentral.
AAGAUCGGGUCGUCCACGGACAUCCUGACCAGGUUCCUUAUAUUAUCACUUGGGAGAGUCUUGCCUUAUACCCCCCCCCCUUGGGCGGAACCCUUCGUGGACCCGAAUUGGCCUCCCCUCAACCCCCAGCUUGUCCCCUCGGCCCCGCCCGGUUUGCUGGCCCCGUCUUCCUCUCUCUACCCCACUCUAAUUAAAUCAGAGCCUUCUAAGAAACCUGUCCUCCCGGCAGACUCAAACUCCCCUCUCAUAGAUCUUCUCUCUGAAGAUCCUCCUCCCCCAUAUCGUUUACCUACAGGCCCGGCUGAAACGGAGGAGGCAGAGCUGCCGGCCAGAUCAGUUGCCGGGCCACAGUCUGAUAAGGGUUUCUCCCCUGUCGCAGGGAGAUUGCGCAAUAAGCGCGAGGUGAUGCCAGAUACAACCUCCCA